This 377-nucleotide unclassified non-coding RNA is filed under the name uncultured Parachlamydiaceae bacterium. RNAcentral describes it as "contains 16S-23S intergenic spacer region". Lineage: Bacteria; Pseudomonadati; Chlamydiota; Chlamydiia; Parachlamydiales; Parachlamydiaceae. The record is from RNAcentral.
UCCUGGUUAACCCAGGCAGUCUCGUUAGAGUUCCCAUCCGAAAUGUUGGCAACUAACGAUAAGGGUUGCGCUCGUUGCGGGACUUAACCCAACACCUCACGGCACGAGCUGACGACAGCCAUGCAGCACCUGUGCAGCAGUCCCGAAGGAAGACCUCAUUUCUGAAGCUGUCUACUGCAUGUCAAGUCUGGGUAAGGUUCUUCGCGUUGCAUCGAAUUAAACCACAUGCUCCACUGCUUGUGCGGGUCCCCGUCAAUUCUUUUGAGUUUCAGCCUUGCGACUGUACUCCCCAGGCGGUAUACUUAACGCGUUAGCUCCGGCACAACCGGGGUUGAGUCCAGUUACACCAAGUAUACAUCGUUUACAGCAAGGACUAC